UACAGAGGUCCCAAGCGUUGUUCGGAUUCACUGGGCGUAAAGGGUGCGUAGGUGGUCGAGUAAGUCUGAUGUGAAAUCCCUCGGCUCAACUGAGGAACUGCCUUUGAAACUGUCUGGCUUGAGGCCGGGAGGGGGUAGCGGAAUUCCCAGUGUAGCGGUGAAAUGCGUAGAUACUGGGAGGAACACCAGUGGCGAAGGCGGCUACCUGGACCGGUUCUGACGCUGAGGCGCGAAAGCGUGGGUAGCAAACAGG
Molecule: ribosomal RNA, 253 nt
Filed under: uncultured bacterium
Lineage: Bacteria
Description: partial 16S ribosomal RNA
Rfam family: Bacterial small subunit ribosomal RNA
Source: RNAcentral